This 65-nucleotide transfer RNA is filed under the name Ovis aries (sheep). It matches the Rfam family "tRNA". From Rfam's summary of the family: Transfer RNA (tRNA) molecules are approximately 80 nucleotides in length. Their secondary structure includes four short double-helical elements and three loops (D, anti-codon, and T loops). Further hydrogen bonds mediate the characteristic L-shaped molecular structure. tRNAs have two regions of fundamental functional importance: the anti-codon, which is responsible for specific mRNA codon recognition, and the 3' end, to which the tRNAs corresponding amino acid is attached (by aminoacyl-tRNA synthetases). tRNAs cope with the degeneracy of the genetic code in two manners: having more than one tRNA (with a specific anti-codon) for a particular amino acid; and 'wobble' base-pairing, i.e. permitting non-standard base-pairing at the 3rd anti-codon position. The record is from Rfam by way of RNAcentral. Lineage: Eukaryota; Metazoa; Chordata; Mammalia; Artiodactyla; Bovidae.
UUCCUGGUGGCUCAGACGGUAAAGCGUCUGCCUGCAAUGCAGGAGACCUGGGUUUGACCAGGAAG